RNAcentral lists this ribosomal RNA (253 nucleotides) under uncultured bacterium. Its description in RNAcentral is "partial 16S ribosomal RNA". It matches the Rfam family "Bacterial small subunit ribosomal RNA", at positions 524 to 776 of the family's 1533-position model. The record is from RNAcentral.
UACGGGGGGGGCAAGCGUUGUUCGGAAUUACUGGGCGUAAAGGGCUCGUAGGUGGCCAACUAAGUCAGACGUGAAAUCCCUCGGCUUAACCGGGGAACUGCGUCUGAUACUGGAUGGCUUGAGUUCGGGAGAGGGAUGCGGAAUUCCAGGUGUAGCGGUGAAAUGCGUAGAUAUCUGGAGGAACACCGGUGGCGAAGGCGGCAGCCUGGACCGACACUGACGCUGAGGAGCGAAAGCCAGGGGAGCAAACGGG